GACGAACGCUGGCGGCGUGCCUAAUACAUGCAAGUAGAACGCUGAAGGAGGAGCUUGCUUCUCUGGAUGAGUUGCGAACGGGUGAGUAACGCGUAGGUAACCUACCUGGUAGCGGGGGAUAACUAUUGGAAACGAUAGCUAAUACCGCAUAACAGUAGAUAUCGCAUGAUAUCUACUUGAAAGGUGCAAUUGCAUCACUACCAGAUGGACCUGCGUUGUAUUAGCUAGUUGGUGAGGUAACGGCUCACCAAGGCGACGAUACAUAGCCGACCUGAGAGGGUGAUCGGCCACACUGGGACUGAGACACGGCCCAGACUCCUACGGGGAGCAGCAGUAGGGAAUCUUCGGCAAUGGACGGAAGUCUGACCGAGCAACGCCGCGUGAGUGAAGAAGGUUUUCGGAUCGUAAAGCUCUGUUGUAAGAGAAGAACGAGUGUGAGAGUGGAAAGUUCACACUGUGACGGUAUCUUACCAGAAAGGGACGGCUAACUACGUG
This 495-nucleotide ribosomal RNA is filed under the name uncultured bacterium. RNAcentral's name for it is "partial 16S ribosomal RNA". It matches the Rfam family "Bacterial small subunit ribosomal RNA", at positions 28 to 507 of the family's 1533-position model. The record is from RNAcentral.